Molecule: long non-coding RNA, 323 nt
Filed under: Salvia miltiorrhiza (redroot sage)
Lineage: Eukaryota; Viridiplantae; Streptophyta; Magnoliopsida; Lamiales; Lamiaceae
Description: long non-coding RNA (SMIL_LNC012936)
Source: RNAcentral
AAAAAGUUAUUGAAUAUAUUAGGAGUGGUGAAAAUGUGUUAUAAUUAAUAUUGAGAGUUGUGAGAAAGUGAAAAAGUGAAAAGUAAGCAAUUAUAAGUGGUGGACUGGGGUAUAAUUCAAAAAUAGGUAGGAAAUUUUUUUGUGGACGUUCCAAAAAAGAAAGAUAGGAAGUUCUUUCGUGGACGCAGGGAGUAAAAAUUUAUAUUUUUAAAUAUUUUUUUUCUUUUCUCUCAUUUUUUUUAAAAGAGAAUUUUAUUAUAUUUUGUUCCUUGUUUCCACUUCAAAAAAGAGAUAAUAUUGUCACCCUGUUUUUUGUGUGAUAA